CAGAGGGGGCAAGCGUUGUUCGGAAUUACUGGGCGUAAAGGGCGCGUAGGCGGCCUGCUAAGUCGGACGUGAAAUCCCCGAGCUCAACUCGGGAACUGCGUCCGAUACUGGUUGGCUUGAAUCCGGGAGAGGGAUGCGGAAUUCCAGGUGUAGCGGUGAAAUGCGUAGAUAUCUGGAGGAACACCGGUGGCGAAGGCGGCAUCCUGGACCGGCAUUGACGCUGAGGCGCGAAAGCCAGGGGAGCAAACGGGAUUAGAUACCCCGGUAGUCCUGGCCCUAAACGAUGAAUGCUUGGUGUGGCGGGUAUCGAUCCCUGCCGUGCCGAAGCUAACGCAUUAAGCAUUCCGCCUGGGGAGUACGGUCGCAAGGCUG
RNAcentral lists this ribosomal RNA (372 nucleotides) under uncultured organism. Its description in RNAcentral is "bacterial SSU rRNA". It matches the Rfam family "Bacterial small subunit ribosomal RNA", at positions 526 to 896 of the family's 1533-position model. The record is from RNAcentral.